CAAGUCGAGCGGUAGCACAGAGAGCUUGCUCUCGGGUGACGAGCGGCGGACGGGUGAGUAAUGUCUGGGAAACUGCCUGAUGGAGGGGGAUAACUACUGGAAACGGUAGCUAAUACCGCAUAAUGUCGCAAGACCAAAGUGGGGGACCUUCGGGCCUCAUGCCAUCAGAUGUGCCCAGAUGGGAUUAGCUAGUAGGUGGGGUAACGGCUCACCUAGGCGACGAUCCCUAGCUGGUCUGAGAGGAUGACCAGCCACACUGGAACUGAGACACGGUCCAGACUCCUACGGGAGGCAGCAGUGGGGAAUAUUGCACAAUGGGCGCAAGCCUGAUGCAGCCAUGCCGCGUGUGUGAAGAAGGCCUUCGGGUUGUAAAGCACUUUCAGCGGGGAGGAAGGCGAUAAGGUUAAUAACCUUGUCGAUUGACGUUACCCGCAGAAGAAGCACCGGCUAACUCCGUGCCAGCAGCCGCGGUAAUACGGAGGGUGCAAGCGUUAAUCGGAAUUACUGGGCGUAAAGCGCACGCAGGCGGUCUGUCAAGUCGGAUGUGAAAUCCCCGGGCUCAACCUGGGAACUGCAUUCGAAACUGGCAGGCUAGAGUCUUGUAGAGGGGGGUAGAAUUCCAGGUGUAGCGGUGAAAUGCGUAGAGAUCUGGAGGAAUACCGGUGGCGAAGGCGGCCCCCUGGACAAAGACUGACGCUCAGGUGCGAAAGCGUGGGGAGCAAACAGGAUUAGAUACCCUGGUAGUCCACGCCGUAAACGAUGUCGAUUUGGAGGUUGUGCCCUUGAGGCGUGGCUUCCGGAGCUAACGCGUUAAAUCGACCGCCUGGGGAGUACGGCCGCAAGGUUAAAACUCAAAUGAAUUGACGGGGGCCCGCACAAGCGGUGGAGCAUGUGGUUUAAUUCGAUGCAACGCGAAGAACCUUACCUGGUCUUGACAUCCACAGAACUUUCCAGAGAUGGAUUGGUGCCUUCGGGAACUGUGAGACAGGUGCUGCAUGGCUGUCGUCAGCUCGUGUUGUGAAAUGUUGGGUUAAGUCCCGCAACGAGCGCAACCCUUAUCCUUUGUUGCCAGCGGUUAGGCCGGGAACUCAAAGGAGACUGCCAGUGAUAAACUGGAGGAAGGUGGGGAUGACGUCAAGUCAUCAUGGCCCUUACGACCAGGGCUACACACGUGCUACAAUGGCAUAUACAAAGAGAAGCGACCUCGCGAGAGCAAGCGGACCUCAUAAAGUAUGUCGUAGUCCGGAUUGGAGUCUGCAACUCGACUCCAUGAAGUCGGAAUCGCUAGUAAUCGUAGAUCAGAAUGCUACGGUGAAUACGUUCCCGGGCCUUGUACACACCGCCCGUCACACCAUGGGAGUGGGUUGCUAAAAGAAGUAGGUAGCUUAA
RNAcentral lists this ribosomal RNA (1389 nucleotides) under Klebsiella sp. RNAcentral's name for it is "bacterial SSU rRNA". It matches the Rfam family "Bacterial small subunit ribosomal RNA". The record is from RNAcentral. Lineage: Bacteria; Pseudomonadati; Pseudomonadota; Gammaproteobacteria; Enterobacterales; Enterobacteriaceae.